GGGGGGCCCGUUUUCCGGAAUAUUGAGGCGUAAAGAGCUCGUAGGCGGUUUGUCGCGUCUGCUGUGAAAUCCCGAGGCUCAACCUCGGGCCUGCAGUGGGUACGGGCAGACUAGAGUGCGGUAGGGGAGAUUGGAAUUCCUGGUGUAGCGGUGGAAUGCGCAGAUAUCAGGAGGAACACCGAUGGCGAAGGCAGAUCUCUGGGCCGUAACUGACGCUGAGGAGCGAAAGGGUGGGGAGCAAACAGGCUUAGAUACCCUGGUAGUCCACCCCGUAAACGUUGGGAACUAGUUGUGGGGUCCUUUCCACGGAUUCCGUGACGCAGCUAACGCAUUAAGUUCCCCGCCUGGGGAGUACGGCCGCAAGGCUAAAACUCAAAGGAAUUGACGGGGACCCGCACAAGCGGCGGAGCAUGCGGAUUAAUUCGAUGCAACGCGAAGAACCUUACCAAGGCUUGACAUACACGAGAACGGGCCAGAAAUGGUCAACUCUUUGGACACUCGUGAACAGGUGGUGCAUGGUUGUCGUCAGCUCGUGUCGUGAGAUGUUGGGUUAAGUCCCGCAACGAGCGCAACCCUCGUUCUAUGUUGCCAGCACGUUAUGGUGGGAACUCAUGGGAUACUGCCGGGGUCAACUCGGAGGAAGGUGGGGAUGACGUCAAAUCAUCAUGCCCCUUAUGUCUUGGGCUUCACGCAUGCUACAAUGGCCGGUACAAAGGGCUGCAAUACCGUGAGGUGGAGCGAAUCCCAAAAAGCCGGUCCCAGUUCGGAUUGAGGUCUGCAACUCGACCUCAUGAAGUCGGAGUCGCUAGUAAUCGCAGAUCAGCAACGCUGCGGUGAAUACGUUCCCGGGUCUUGUACACACCGCCCGUCAAGUCAUGAAAGUCGGUAACACCUGAAGCCGGUGGCCUAACCCUUGUGGAGGGAGCCGUCGAAGGUGGGAUCGGUAAUUAGGAUAAUCUAUAGGGGGGGGACACACAUAUAAAAUCCGUGGGGGGCCCCGCCCUUUUU
RNAcentral lists this ribosomal RNA (1008 nucleotides) under Microbacterium resistens. Its description in RNAcentral is "bacterial SSU rRNA". It matches the Rfam family "Bacterial small subunit ribosomal RNA", at positions 531 to 1533 of the family's 1533-position model. Lineage: Bacteria; Bacillati; Actinomycetota; Actinomycetes; Micrococcales; Microbacteriaceae. The record is from RNAcentral.